RNAcentral lists this ribosomal RNA (565 nucleotides) under uncultured fungus. RNAcentral's name for it is "eukaryotic LSU rRNA". The stretch from base 186 to 339 matches the Rfam family "5.8S ribosomal RNA". The record is from RNAcentral. Lineage: Eukaryota; Fungi.
AGUCGUAACAAGGUUUCCGUAGGUGAACCUGCGGAAGGAUCAUUACCGAGUGCGGGCCCCUCGGGGCCCAACCUCCCACCCGUGUUGCCCGAACCUAUGUUGCCUCGGCGGGCCCCGCGCCCGCCGACGGCCCCCCUGAACGCUGUCUGAAGUUGCAGUCUGAGACCUAUAACGAAAUUAGUUAAAACUUUCAACAACGGAUCUCUUGGUUCCGGCAUCGAUGAAGAACGCAGCGAAAUGCGAUAACUAAUGUGAAUUGCAGAAUUCAGUGAAUCAUCGAGUCUUUGAACGCACAUUGCGCCCUCUGGUAUUCCGGAGGGCAUGCCUGUCCGAGCGUCAUUGCUGCCCUCAAGCCCGGCUUGUGUGUUGGGCCCCGUCCCCCCCGCCGGGGGGACGGGCCCGAAAGGCAGCGGCGGCACCGCGUCCGGUCCUCGAGCGUAUGGGGCUUCGUCACCCGCUCUAGUAGGCCCGGCCGGCGCCAGCCGACCCCCAACCUUUAAUUAUCUCAGGUUGACCUCGGAUCAGGUAGGGAUACCCGCUGAACUUAAGCAUAUCAAUAAAGUCG